ACACAUGCAAGUCGAACGAGAAUCUACUGAAAGAGUUUUCGGACAAUGGAUGUAGAGGAAAGUGGCGGACGGGUGAGUAACGCGUGAGGAACCUGCCUUGAAGAGGGGGACAACAGUUGGAAACGACUGCUAAUACCGCAUGACGCAUAGAGGUCGCAUGAUCUUUAUGCCAAAGAUUUAUCGCUUCAAGAUGGCCUCGCGUCUGAUUAGCUGGUUGGCGGGGUAACGGCCCACCAAGGCGACGAUCAGUAGCCGGACUGAGAGGUUGAACGGCCACAUUGGGACUGAGAUACGGCCCAGACUCCUACGGGAGGCAGCAGUGGGGAAUAUUGGGCAAUGGGCGCAAGCCUGACCCAGCAACGCCGCGUGAAGGAAGAAGGCUUUCGGGUUGUAAACUUCUUUUAAGAGGGAAGAGCAGAAGACGGUACCUCUAGAAUAAGCCACGGCUAACUACGUGCCAGCAGCCGCGGUAAUACGCAGGUGGCAAGCGUUGUCCGGAUUUACUGGGUGUAAAGGGCGUGCAGCCGGGUCUGCAAGUCAGAUGUGAAAUCCAUGGGCUCAACCCAUGAACUGCAUUUGAAACUGUAGAUCUUGAGUGUCGGAGGGGCAAUCGGAAUUCCUAGUGUAGCGGUGAAAUGCGUAGAUAUUAGGAGGAACACCAGUGGCGAAGGCGGAUUGCUGGACGAUAACUGACGGUGAGGCGCGAAAGUGUGGGGAGCAAACAGGAUUAGAUACCCUGGUAGUCCACACUGUAAACGAUGAAUACUAGGUGUGCGGGGACUGACCCCUUGCGUGCCGCAGUAAACACAAUAAGUAUUCCACCUGGGGAGUACGAUCGCA
RNAcentral lists this ribosomal RNA (840 nucleotides) under uncultured bacterium. RNAcentral's name for it is "bacterial SSU rRNA". It matches the Rfam family "Bacterial small subunit ribosomal RNA", at positions 51 to 890 of the family's 1533-position model. The record is from RNAcentral.